AGAGUUUGAUCCUGGCUCAGGACGAACGCUGGCGGCGUGCUUAACACAUGCAAGUCGAACGGUGAACCUCCCUUCGGGGAGGGGAUCAGUGGCGAACGGGUGAGUAACACGUGGGCAACCUGCCCCUCGCUCUGGGAUAAGCCCGGGAAACCGGGUCUAAUACCGGAUACGACCUUGGACGACAUCGUCUCGAGGUGGAAAGAAUUUCGGCGAGGGAUGGGCCCGCGGCCUAUCAGCUUGUUGGUGGGGUAACGGCCCACCAAGGCGACGACGGGUAGCCGGCCUGAGAGGGCGACCGGCCACACUGGGACUGAGACACGGCCCAGACUCCUACGGGAGGCAGCAGUGGGGAAUAUUGCGCAAUGGGCGAAAGCCUGACGACGCAACGCCGCGUGGAGGAUGAAGACCUUCGGGUCGUAAACUCCUUUCGAUCGAGACGAAUGUUUUUCGGAUGAAUACUCCGGAAAAGUGACGGUACCGAGAGAAGAAGCCCCGGCUAACUCUGUGCCAGCAGCCGCGGUAAU
This 524-nucleotide ribosomal RNA is filed under the name uncultured soil bacterium. RNAcentral describes it as "bacterial SSU rRNA". It matches the Rfam family "Bacterial small subunit ribosomal RNA", at positions 8 to 524 of the family's 1533-position model. The record is from RNAcentral.